UUAAGCCAUGCAAGUCGAACGAGUUUAGGCUCGUGGCGUACGGCUCAGUAACACGUGGAUAACCUACCCUUAGGACUGGGAUAACCCUGGGAAACUGGGGAUAAUACUAGAUAGGCAAUUUUUCCUGCAAUGGUUUUUUGUUUAAAUGUUUUUUUCGCCUAAGGAUGGGUCUGCGGCCGAUUAGGUAGUUGGUUAGGUAAAGGCUUACCAAGCCGUUGAUCGGUACGGGUUGUGAGAGCAAGAGCCCGGAGAUGGAACCUGAGACAAGGUUCCAGGCCCUACGGGGUGCAGCAGGCGCGAAACCUCCGCAAUGUGAGAAAUCGCGACGGGGGGAUCCCAAGUACCAUUCUUAACGGGAUGGCUUUUCAUUAGUGUAAAGAGCUUUUGGAAUAAGGGCUGGGCAAGACCGGUGCCAGCCGCCGCGGUAA
This 428-nucleotide ribosomal RNA is filed under the name uncultured archaeon. RNAcentral's name for it is "bacterial SSU rRNA". It matches the Rfam family "Archaeal small subunit ribosomal RNA", at positions 44 to 473 of the family's 1478-position model. The record is from RNAcentral.